CCAGGCAUUCCAACUGAAGAUGUCACUGCCGUCUACAUUUUGUAUCAUUGCCAUUUAACACGAUUCAAAUCUCCAUAGAGUCCAUCAAUAGGCAAGCCAGAAGCCCCCUGCAUACAGCACAUAAAACAUUCUGGGUAAGUAAAUAAGAAAAGUUUUUGCCAAGCAUCUUAACUUAUGCAGAACAACUCAUGUUUCCAGUGUAGUAUAACAGGUUAAUUACCAUUUGCCAAGCGAUUGCAGAACUAAUUUCACAAGAAAGCUUACAAAUCCUUACAGGUUCAGCUCCGCCAAAACCAAAGGUGUAGUUCCUGAGAUGAAUGCGCGACGAGAACGACAGGAGAACCUCACCGUUGAGCUCCGACCAGGGUCCACGGCUUCACGCCAAGGCACCUCGCCGCCGCCGGAACAUGGAUGCAUGAUUUGGCCGAGGAAAGCACGAGGAGACGCAGAUGCGACCGGAAGAUCCCCUCCCAAGACCGGCCGCAGCUCUCCGGCAAGACCAUGACGAUGGCGGCGAGGGCGGCGGUUGUCGGCGGAUGUGAAGGGGGCAACGGCCAUGGGGGAAGAGCGACUGAAAGAUGGCAGGCACAAAAAUAGGGAGGAAUUUG
This 608-nucleotide long non-coding RNA is filed under the name Setaria italica (foxtail millet). RNAcentral's name for it is "long non-coding RNA (SITA_LNC004379)". The record is from RNAcentral. Lineage: Eukaryota; Viridiplantae; Streptophyta; Magnoliopsida; Poales; Poaceae.